This 549-nucleotide ribosomal RNA is filed under the name uncultured archaeon. RNAcentral describes it as "bacterial SSU rRNA". It matches the Rfam family "Archaeal small subunit ribosomal RNA", at positions 330 to 879 of the family's 1478-position model. The record is from RNAcentral.
GUGCAGCAGGCGCGAAAACUUUACCAUGCGGGAAACCGUGAUAAGGGGACACCGAGUGCCAGCAUCAUAUGCUGGCUGUCCGGGUGUGUAAAAUACACCCGUUAGCAAGGGCCGGGCAAGACCGGUGCCAGCCGCCGCGGUAACACCGGCGGCCCGAGUGGUGAUCGUGAUUAUUGGGUCUAAAGGGUCCGUAGCCGGUUUGGUCAGUCCUCCGGGAAAUCUGACGGCUUAACCGUUAGGCUUUCGGGGGAUACUGCCAGGCUUGGAACCGGGAGAGGUAAGAGGUACUACAGGGGUAGGAGUGAAAUCUUGUAAUCCCUGUGAGACCACCUGUGGCGAAGGCGUCUUACCAGAACGGGUUCGACGGUGAGGGACGAAAGCUGGGGGCACGAACCGGAUUAGAUACCCGGGUAGUCCCAGCCGUAAACGAUGCUCGCUAGGUGUCAGGCGUGGCGCGACCGUGUCUGGUGCCGCAGGGAAGCCGUGAAGCGAGCCACCUGGGAAGUACGGCCGCAAGGCUGAAACUUAAAGGAAUUGGCGGGGGAGCAC